GUUUCCGUAGGUGAACCUGCGGAAGGAUCAUUAGUG
Molecule: ribosomal RNA, 36 nt
Filed under: Curvibasidium nothofagi
Lineage: Eukaryota; Fungi; Basidiomycota; Microbotryomycetes
Description: [Rhodotorula] nothofagi partial 18S ribosomal RNA
Source: RNAcentral